UAGCCGUAAACGAUACUCGCUAGGUGUCGGCCACGGUGCGACCGUUGUCGGUGCCGUAGGGAAGCCGUGAAGCGAGCCACCUGGGAAGUACGGCCGCAAGGCUGAAACUUAAAGGAAUUGGCGGGGGAGCACAACAACGGGUGGAGCUUGCGGUUUAAUUGGAUUCAGCGCCGGAAAUCUUACCGGGACCGACAGCAACAUGAAGGCCAAGCUGAAGACUUUGCCGGAUUAGCUGAGAGGUGGUGCAUGGCGUAGUCGUGU
This 261-nucleotide ribosomal RNA is filed under the name uncultured archaeon. Its description in RNAcentral is "partial 16S ribosomal RNA". It matches the Rfam family "Archaeal small subunit ribosomal RNA", at positions 748 to 1009 of the family's 1478-position model. The record is from RNAcentral.